UAGAGGAAGUAAAAGUCGUAACAAGGUCUCCGUAGGUGAACCUGCGGAGGGAUCAUUACACAAAUAUGAAGGCGGGCUGGAACCUCUCGGGGUUACAGCCUUGCUGAAUUAUUCACCCUUGUCUUUUGCGUACUUCUUGUUUCCUUGGUGGGUUCGCCCACCACUAGGACAAACAUAAACCUUUUGUAAUUGCAAUCAGCGUCAGUAACAAAUUAAUAAUUACAACUUUCAACAACGGAUCUCUUGGUUCUGGCAUCGAUGAAGAACGCAGCGAAAUGCGAUAAGUAGUGUGAAUUGCAGAAUUCAGUGAAUCAUCGAAUCUUUGAACGCACAUUGCGCCCUUUGGUAUUCCAAAGGGCAUGCCUGUUCGAGCGUCAUUUGUACCCUCAAGCUUUGCUUGGUGUUGGGCGUCUUGUCUCUAGCUUUGCUGGAGACUCGCCUUAAAGUAAUUGGCAGCCGGCCUACUGGUUUCGGAGCGCAGCACAAGUCGCACUCUCUAUCAGCAAAGGUCUAGCAUCCAUUAAGCCUUUUUUUCAACUUUUGACCUCGGAUCAGGUAGGGAUACCCGCUGAACUUAAGCAUAUCAAUAAGCGGAGGAA
This 599-nucleotide ribosomal RNA is filed under the name fungal sp. MG118M1L7x. RNAcentral's name for it is "eukaryotic LSU rRNA". The stretch from base 224 to 377 matches the Rfam family "5.8S ribosomal RNA". The record is from RNAcentral. Lineage: Eukaryota; Fungi.